RNAcentral lists this transfer RNA (74 nucleotides) under Erythrobacter sp. RNAcentral describes it as "tRNA-Arg". The stretch from base 7 to 63 matches the Rfam family "tRNA", at positions 8 to 63 of the family's 71-position model. Rfam says of the family: Transfer RNA (tRNA) molecules are approximately 80 nucleotides in length. Their secondary structure includes four short double-helical elements and three loops (D, anti-codon, and T loops). The record is from RNAcentral. Lineage: Bacteria; Pseudomonadati; Pseudomonadota; Alphaproteobacteria; Sphingomonadales; Erythrobacteraceae.
GCUGUCUGGGAUUGUCGUUUAUCCCUGCCCUCCGAAGGCAGAGGCCACAGGUUCGAAUCCUGUCGGGUGCACCA